This is a non-coding RNA of Phthorimaea operculella (potato tuberworm), 76 nucleotides long. Lineage: Eukaryota; Metazoa; Arthropoda; Insecta; Lepidoptera; Gelechiidae. The record is from the annotation of a GenBank genome assembly.
GCCGCUGAAGCUUAGAUGGUAGAGACGUCGCCAGUAUAGAUGGUGAAGGUUGCUGGUUCAAAUCCAGCUUGUGGUA